UUUUGCACUACUUUUUCUAGUAUCUUGAGAUAGGAACUUAACUAAUUUUUUCCUUCUUUUCUAUCUAGUCAUUUUCUUCUCCCUGGUCUCCCUACUGCUAUCUUUAGACAUAAGCUCAAUGAAGUUCGCAAGGAGAUUUCUUUUGUUGCUAUAAAUACCACAUUUUCUCCACUGACCUUUCAUUUUUUCUUUGUACCUCUUGAAGGCUCACUUUCACACUGCCCUCGAGCUACAGCUUGCUACCCCUCAACAGAGAGAGCAUGGUGUGCCCCCAACUGGAAAAACAGACCUGCCUUCCUCUUUAGACCUUUGUCCUCCUCUCAAUAAGAGUCUUAACUAUGUAUCAGUAUGAAGUGUGAGUGAGUAAAGUGAGGCCCCAACUUUGGGAUGGUCAUUACUGAAAAAGAAAAACCUCACAUGAUGACAAAGUCUUUUUAACACUACAUGAAUGUGACUAAAUCAGCUACUGAACCAAAGUUCACAGGAGCAAAAUCAAAAAGAACAAGGAGAAUCAAGCAAGUUAAUCUGGUAAAAAGUCACAGACGGCUAGGGACAGUGGCUCAUGACUGUAAUCCUAGCACUUUGGGAGGCCAAGGCAGGAGGAUUGCUUGGGCCCAGGAGUUCAAGACCAGCAUGGGCAACAUGAGACCUUGUCUUUACAAAAAAAAAAAAAAAAAAAAUCAGAAUAUUAGCCAGGCAUGGUGUAAAAAAAAAAUCAAAAUAUUAGCCAGGCGUGGUG
RNAcentral lists this long non-coding RNA (739 nucleotides) under Homo sapiens (human). RNAcentral describes it as "non-protein coding lnc-FBP2-4:1". Lineage: Eukaryota; Metazoa; Chordata; Mammalia; Primates; Hominidae. The record is from RNAcentral.